RNAcentral lists this ribosomal RNA (320 nucleotides) under uncultured Caryophanaceae bacterium. RNAcentral's name for it is "bacterial SSU rRNA". It matches the Rfam family "Bacterial small subunit ribosomal RNA", at positions 485 to 804 of the family's 1533-position model. The record is from RNAcentral. Lineage: Bacteria; Bacillati; Bacillota; Bacilli; Caryophanales; Caryophanaceae.
AGAAAGCCACGGCUAACUACGUGCCAGCAGCCGCGGUAAUACGUAGGUGGCAAGCGUUGUCCGGAAUCAUUGGGCGUAAAGCGCGCGCAGGCGGUCCCUUAAGUCUGAUGUGAAAGCCCACGGCUCAACCGUGGAGGGUCAUUGGAAACUGGGGGACUUGAGUGCAGAAGAGGAAAGCGGAAUUCCAAGUGUAGCGGUGAAAUGCGUAGAGAUUUGGAGGAACACCAGUGGCGAAGGCGGCUUUCUGGUCUGUAACUGACGCUGAGGCGCGAAAGCGUGGGGAGCAAACAGGAUUAGAUACCCAAGUAGUCCAGAAACUU